UAAUACGGAGGGUGCAAACGUUGCUCGGAAUCACUGGGCGUAAAGCGCACGUAGGCGGCCUUGUAAGUUGGAUGUGAAAGCCCUGGGCUCAACCCAGGAAGUGCAUCCAAAACUGCAUGGCUUGAGUACCGGAGGGGUUCAGAGAAUUCCCGGUGUAGAGGUGAAAUUCGUAGAUAUCGGGAGGAAUACCAGUGGCGAAGGCGCUGAACUGGACGGUAACUGACGCUGAGGUGCGAAAGCGUGGGUAGCAAACAGGAUUAGAUACCCUGGUAGUCCACGCCGUAAACGAUGAGUGCUAGGCGGUGGGAGAUUUUGACCCUCUCGCUGUCGAAGCUAACGCGUUAAGCACUCCGCCUGGGGAGUACGGUCGCAAGACUA
RNAcentral lists this ribosomal RNA (378 nucleotides) under uncultured bacterium. RNAcentral's name for it is "bacterial SSU rRNA". It matches the Rfam family "Bacterial small subunit ribosomal RNA", at positions 521 to 896 of the family's 1533-position model. The record is from RNAcentral.